Molecule: ribosomal RNA, 301 nt
Filed under: uncultured bacterium
Lineage: Bacteria
Description: partial 16S ribosomal RNA
Rfam family: Bacterial small subunit ribosomal RNA
Source: RNAcentral
CAGCAGCCGCGGUAAUACGUAGGUGGCAAGCGUUGUCCGGAAUUAUUGGGCGUAAAGGGCUCGCAGGCGGUUUCUUAAGUCUGAUGUGAAAGCCCCCGGCUCAACCGGGGAGGGUCACUGGAAACUGGGAAACUUGAGUGCAGAAGAGGAGAGUGGAAUUCCACGUGUAGCGGUGAAAUGCGUAGAGAUGUGGAGGAACACCAGUGGCGAAGGCGACUCUCUGGUCUGUAACUGACGCUGAGGAGCGAAAGCGUGGGGAGCGAACAGGAUUAGAUACCCCUGUAGUCCCUGUCUCUUAUAC